GUGAAUCAUCGAAUCUUUGAACGCAACUUGCGCUCUCUGGUAUUCCGGAGAGCAUGCCUGUUUGAGUGUCAUGAAAUCUCAACCAUUAGGGUUUCUUAAUGGCUUGGAUUUGGGUGUUGCCAGUCUCUGGCUCGCCUUAAAGGAGUUAGCGAGUUUAACAAUGUCGUCUGGCGUAAUAAGUUUCGCUGGUAAGACUUGUGAAGUUUGCUUCUAAUCGUCUUCGGACAAUUACUUUGACUCUGGCCUCAAAUCAGGUAGGACUACCCGCUGAACUUAAGCAUAUCAAUAAGCGGAGGA
This 297-nucleotide unclassified non-coding RNA is filed under the name Apiotrichum sp. RNAcentral's name for it is "partial contains 5.8S ribosomal RNA, internal transcribed spacer 2, and large subunit ribosomal RNA". The stretch from base 1 to 71 matches the Rfam family "5.8S ribosomal RNA", at positions 84 to 154 of the family's 154-position model. The record is from RNAcentral. Lineage: Eukaryota; Fungi; Basidiomycota; Tremellomycetes; Trichosporonales; Trichosporonaceae.